This 301-nucleotide ribosomal RNA is filed under the name uncultured bacterium. Its description in RNAcentral is "partial 16S ribosomal RNA". It matches the Rfam family "Bacterial small subunit ribosomal RNA", at positions 509 to 807 of the family's 1533-position model. The record is from RNAcentral.
CAGCCGCCUCGGUAAUACAGAGGGUGCGAGCGUUAAUCGGAUUUACUGGGCGUAAAGCGUGCGUAGGCGGCUUCUUAAGUCGGAUGUGAAAUCCCUGAGCUUAACUUAGGAAUUGCAUUCGAUACUGGGAAGCUAGAGUAUGGGAGAGGAUGGUAGAAUUCCAGGUGUAGCGGUGAAAUGCGUAGAGAUCUGGAGGAAUACCGAUGGCGAAGGCAGCCAUCUGGCCUAAUACUGACGCUGAGGUACGAAAGCAUGGGGAGCAAACAGGAUUAGAUACCCCCGUAGUCCCUGUCUCUUAUAC